RNAcentral lists this long non-coding RNA (308 nucleotides) under Androctonus crassicauda. Lineage: Eukaryota; Metazoa; Arthropoda; Arachnida; Scorpiones; Buthidae. The record is from RNAcentral.
AUGGCAUGUUUUUCUUUUUUCAGAAGUCUUAUGCACAUAGAUUGGCAUCAAGCAAAAAUCAUAAGACCUCCGAGAAAAGAAAAACAUGCCAUCUUAGCUGAAACCAUGGAAAUUUACGCUAAUGAGAAAAAAGAAAAACUUGUGAAUGACCACUCCUCUCAAGAAUUACCACACCCUUGGGAAUAUCUCAUAAGUAAAACGACACAAUGAUCUUGAAACGUCAUUGAACUUUAACCGUGAAUUAAAAUGGCUCUCUCCUAGAUAAUAUCCGUUAAAUGUAUUUAUGAAUAAUCUGCUCCAUCAUGAAU